RNAcentral lists this ribosomal RNA (465 nucleotides) under uncultured bacterium. Its description in RNAcentral is "partial 16S ribosomal RNA". It matches the Rfam family "Bacterial small subunit ribosomal RNA", at positions 28 to 507 of the family's 1533-position model. The record is from RNAcentral.
GAUGAACGCUGGCGGCGUGCUUAACACAUGCAAGUCGAACGGAAAGGCCCAAGUUUGCUUGGGUACUCGAGUGGCGAACGGGUGAGUAACACGUGGGUGAUCUGCCCUGCACUUCGGGAUAAGCACGGGAAACUGGGUCUAAUACCGGAUAGGACCACAUUUUGGAUGGUGUGGUUGAGAGUUUUUCGGUGUGGGAUGAACUCGCGGCCUAUCAGCUUGUUGUUGGGGUAAUGGCCUACCAAGGCGUCGACGGGUAGCCGGCCUGAGAGGGUGAACGGCCACAUUGGGACUGAGAUACGGCCCAGACUCCUACGGGAGGCAGCAGUGGGGAAUAUUGCACAAUGGGCGGAAGCCUGAUGCAGCAACGCCGCGUGGGGGAUGACGGCCUUCGGGUUGUAAACCGCUUUCGCCAGGGACGAAGCGGAAGUGACGGUAACGGGUAAAGAAGCACCGGCUAACUACGUG